GACGAACGCUGGCGGCGUGCUUAACACAUGCAAGUCGAACGGAAAGGCCCUGCUUUUGUGCGGUGCUCGAGUUGCGAACGGGUGAGUAACACUUGAGUAACCUGCCCUUGACUUUGGGAUAACUUCAGGAAACUGGGGCUAAUACCGGAUAGGAGCUCCCGCUGCAUGGUGGGGGUUGGAUAGUUUCGGCGGUUGGGGAUGGACUCGCGGCUUAUUAGCUUGUUGGUUGGGUAGUGGCUGACCAAGGCUUUGACGGGUAGCCGGGCUGAGAGGGUGACCGGCCAAAUUGGGACUGAGAUGCGGCCCAGACUACUACGGGAGGCAGCGGAGGAGAAGAUUGCACAAUGGGCGGAAGCCUAAUGCAACAACGCAGCGUGGGGGAUGACGGCCUUCGGGUUGUAAACCGCUGUCGCCUGUGACGAGACGUGAGUGACGGUAAUGGGUAAAGAAGCACCGGCUAACUACGUG
Molecule: ribosomal RNA, 468 nt
Filed under: uncultured bacterium
Lineage: Bacteria
Description: partial 16S ribosomal RNA
Rfam family: Bacterial small subunit ribosomal RNA
Source: RNAcentral